Molecule: ribosomal RNA, 340 nt
Filed under: uncultured bacterium
Lineage: Bacteria
Description: bacterial SSU rRNA
Rfam family: Bacterial small subunit ribosomal RNA
Source: RNAcentral
UGGGGAAUAUUGCACAAUGGGGGAAACCCUGAUGCAGCGACGCCGCGUGGAGGAAGAAGGUCUUCGGAUUGUAAACUCCUGUUGUUGGGGAAAAUAAGGAUGGUACCCAACAAGGAAGUGACGGCUAACUACGUGCCAGCAGCCGCGGUAAAACGUAGGUCACAAGCGUUGUCCGGAAUUACUGGGUGUAAAGGGAGCGCAGGCGGGUAUGCAAGUUGGAAGUGAAAUCAUGGGCUCAACCCAUGAACUGCUCUCAAAACUGUGUAUCUUGAGUAGUGCAGAGGUAGGCGGAAUUCCCGGUGUAGCGGUGGAAUGCGUAGAUAUCGGGAGGAACACCAGU